This 1194-nucleotide ribosomal RNA is filed under the name Triticum aestivum (bread wheat). Its description in RNAcentral is "partial small subunit ribosomal RNA". The record is from RNAcentral. Lineage: Eukaryota; Viridiplantae; Streptophyta; Magnoliopsida; Poales; Poaceae.
AUGGCGAUCAAAAGAUGCGCCGAUGAUCCGGUAUCUCCUCGGCUGCGGAUGGCAAAGCGCAUUGUCAUCAAGCCGCCGCCACCGGGGUUCGACCAACCCGACCUGCCUUCUGAUGUUAUCAUCAGCAUCCUGUCAUGGCUGCCGGUCAAGUCCUUGGUUCGUUUCAAGUCUGUCUGCAGGGGCUGGCAGGCCAUGUUAUCCGAACCAGGUUUCAUCUACGCUCACCUCGAGUGCUCCAAGAAAAGGCGCCCAUCGCUGCUCAUGGUGCCUUGUGGGUAUGAUCCCAAUGAUAUUCAGAAGAAUCAAGAUGACAGCACUUUCUGCAUGGGGUUUUACAGGUACCACAUCGGCGAUAAGGAGGAGCUGAUCCACCUACAGAAGCUACCACAAGGAAUUGCCCUGUGGAGUAGCCCGCUACACUGCAACGGUUUGAUCCUUAUUUCCACCACGAGAGAGGAGCUGAUGAUCUGCAACCCGGCAACUAGAGAGUUUGUUACGUUGCCAGAACGGAAACAUGAAAGGUAUGCAUUCCCAAGGGUGGGGUUUGGGUUUGACCCUUGUAGCAAGAAGUACAAGGUGGCCAGAUUUUUCUAUCAGAGGCUUACCCCGAGCUAUGACCUGGUUUGCAAGUUUGAGGUGCUUACUGUUGGCUCUAACAUAUGGAGACAAACAGUAGAUCCACCAUAUUGGAUUUGCGGACAAACUCCUGUUCAUGUCAACGGUUAUAUCUACUGGACAUGUGCUGGAAAUCCAAGUUGCCCAGUUCCACCCAAGUCAUUUCUUCGGUUCAGUUUGACUGAUGAGGAGUUUAGUUUGGUUCCAUAUCCUCCAUCUCAUUUGAAGCCUGCCCGUUUUGUGCAAUUGGAGAGCGAAUUGUCUUGUGUCUGCUUGGGUUUUACAAAACUAGAUCUUGAGAUUUGGAACCUUAACUUUGGGUUUGAUCAGACCCCUGAAUGGAAUCGACGCUGGACUACCAUGAUUAGUCCUGAUUUAAUUGUAGAGCUUCCCCAAUGUAGGGCUACAAGACCUCCUAGAGUUAUUCUUCAUGAGGAUACGUGGCUUCUAACAGAGGAACGAAACGUCUAUCGGUAUGACACCCAUACAUCUGAAAUAGUGAAGAUUUCUUCAGGUGUUCAAGACACAACAUAUAAUGAUCCUACGUCGCAGAAACAGGUGAUUUUACAUUUAAGUAAU